This 496-nucleotide ribosomal RNA is filed under the name uncultured bacterium. RNAcentral's name for it is "partial 16S ribosomal RNA". It matches the Rfam family "Bacterial small subunit ribosomal RNA", at positions 28 to 506 of the family's 1533-position model. The record is from RNAcentral.
GAUGAACGCUGGCGGCGUGCCUAAUACAUGCAAGUCGAGCGAACAGACGAGGAGCUUGCUCCUCUGACGUUAGCGGCGGACGGGUGAGUAACACGUGGAUAACCUACCUAUAAGACUGGGAUAACUUCGGGAAACCGGAGCUAAUACCGGAUAAUAUAUUGAACCGCAUGGUUCAAUAGUGAAAGACGGUUUUGCUGUCACUUAUAGAUGGAUCCGCGCCGCAUUAGCUAGUUGGUAAGGUAACGGCUUACCAAGGCAACGAUGCGUAGCCGACCUGAGAGGGUGAUCGGCCACACUGGAACUGAGACACGGUCCAGACUCCUACGGGAGGCAGCAGUAGGGAAUCUUCCGCAAUGGGCGAAAGCUUGACGGAGCAACGCCGCGUGAGUGAUGAAGGUCUUCGGACCGUAAAACUCUGUUAUUAGGGAAGAACAAAUGUGUAAGUAACUAUGCACGUCUUGACGGUACCUAAUCAGAAAGCCACGGCUAACUACGU